UGAUUUUAAAUGUUUCAUUCUUCAUGCGAUUCUUUUAAGAUAUACAUCUCUGUAUACUGAGAAUUGUUGUCCUAAUCAUAUAAUAAACAUUGAGCUUAAUUUGUGACCUAGUGUCAAAAUGGUGAAAAGAUUGUGGGAAAAACAAUCUAAUUAAGGUAUAAUGACAAUGUUGAAUUAUCUGUUAUUCAAUCAUGAAGAGGUUUUCCAUGAUCUUUUGACAACAAUGGAACACUUGUACAUUAAUGCUUUUCAAAUAUCAAUCUUUUUAUGCAGGAAAAUGUAUGAGAUAAUAUUUAAUAAAAAAGAAAGAAAAAAAUUACUCAAUAUGAUGAACAGUGAUGUGUUAUUU
This 349-nucleotide long non-coding RNA is filed under the name Mytilus galloprovincialis (Mediterranean mussel). The record is from RNAcentral. Lineage: Eukaryota; Metazoa; Mollusca; Bivalvia; Mytilida; Mytilidae.